UCCCCUUAGACCGACCCUGAAGCUUCUCUUGUUAUUCUCAUGUCUCUUUGUGUAGAAUAGGAACAAACAGUCACUUGUGUCUCUUGCCUGCAUGCAGCAAUCCAUCCAUUUCACAAUGUGAAUUCUUAAUAUUCUCUUCGAUGAAUUGGAGGAAGUAGAGAAGAAAAGGGAAAAAGUGAUGGCCGGAGGAGGUGACAGCGACGGAGAAUCCUUAGAUUAUACACCUACUUGGAUAAUCGCACUUGUUUGUAUUAGCAGGAACAUUCCUUGGAAAGACAAGGACGAAAAUGAAAGAAGCCAGUCUAGUUGCACACAAAAGGAAUCCCAGUCCUUUACAAGCAAUCAAUUCAAUGGAAGGCCUUCCAAGACAGCCAACAUCCAUUUAGCCUAGAAUCAAUCAAGCCAGCCAAAGUGUUUUCCCAAUUCUGUCCAGCAAUUACAACAAUCAAGGAAUUCACCAGUCAUUUACAUACCUGAUUUAGAAUAGAUUUUGUUUCUGUUAGGAAAUGCCAAAAAUAAAUAAAAGAUUGUAAUAUCUCUACAGCACAUGGAACCAGUAUAAAUAGAAACAAUUGUACAGUCUCCAGCACGUUGAGCUGAGACACUUAAACCA
Long non-coding RNA from Olea europaea var. sylvestris, 613 nucleotides. RefSeq lists it as uncharacterized. Lineage: Eukaryota; Viridiplantae; Streptophyta; Magnoliopsida; Lamiales; Oleaceae. The transcript is spliced from 2 exons. The record is from RefSeq and is a predicted model, not a curated record.